Molecule: ribosomal RNA, 1372 nt
Filed under: uncultured bacterium
Lineage: Bacteria
Description: bacterial SSU rRNA
Rfam family: Bacterial small subunit ribosomal RNA
Source: RNAcentral
GAUGAACGCUGGCGGCGUGCCUAAUACAUGCAAGUCGAGCGAACGGACGAGAAGCUUGCUUCUCUGAUGUUAGCGGCGGACGGGUGAGUAACACGUGGAUAACCUACCUAUAAGACUGGGAUAACUUCGGGAAACCGGAGCUAAUACCGGAUAAUAUUUUGAACCGCAUGGUUCAAAAGUGAAAGACGGUCUUGCUGUCACUUAUAGAUGGAUCCGCGCUGCAUUAGCUAGUUGGUAAGGUAACGGCUUACCAAGGCAACGAUGCAUAGCCGACCUGAGAGGGUGAUCGGCCACACUGGAACUGAGACACGGUCCAGACUCCUACGGGAGGCAGCAGUAGGGAAUCUUCCGCAAUGGGCGAAAGCCUGACGGAGCAACGCCGCGUGAGUGAUGAAGGUCUUCGGAUCGUAAAACUCUGUUAUUAGGGAAGAACAUAUGUGUAAGUAACUGUGCACAUCUUGACGGUACCUAAUCAGAAAGCCACGGCUAACUACGUGCCAGCAGCCGCGGUAAUACGUAGGUGGCAAGCGUUAUCCGGAAUUAUUGGGCGUAAAGCGCGCGUAGGCGGUUUUUUAAGUCUGAUGUGAAAGCCCACGGCUCAACCGUGGAGGGUCAUUGGAAACUGGAAAACUUGAGUGCAGAAGAGGAAAGUGGAAUUCCAUGUGUAGCGGUGAAAUGCGCAGAGAUAUGGAGGAACACCAGUGGCGAAGGCGACUUUCUGGUCUGUAACUGACGCUGAUGUGCGAAAGCGUGGGGAUCAAACAGGAUUAGAUACCCUGGUAGUCCACGCCGUAAACGAUGAGUGCUAAGUGUUAGGGGGUUUCCGCCCCUUAGUGCUGCAGCUAACGCAUUAAGCACUCCGCCUGGGGAGUACGACCGCAAGGUUGAAACUCAAAGGAAUUGACGGGGACCCGCACAAGCGGUGGAGCAUGUGGUUUAAUUCGAAGCAACGCGAAGAACCUUACCAAAUCUUGACAUCCUUUGACAACUCUAGAGAUAGAGCCUUCCCCUUCGGGGGACAAAGUGACAGGUGGUGCAUGGUUGUCAUCAGCUCGUGUCGUGAGAUGUUGGGUUAAGUCCCGCAACGAGCGCAACCCUUAAGCUUAGUUGCCAUCAUUAAGUUGGGCACUCUAAGUUGACUGCCGGUGACAAACCGGAGGAAGGUGGGGAUGACGUCAAAUCAUCAUGCCCCUUAUGAUUUGGGCUACACACGUGCUACAAUGGACAAUACAAAGGGCAGCGAAACCGCGAGGUCAAGCAAAUCCCAUAAAGUUGUUCUCAGUUCGGAUUGUAGUCUGCAACUCGACUACAUGAAGCUGGAAUCGCUAGUAAUCGUAGAUCAGCAUGCUACGGUGAAUACGUUCCCGGGUCU